RNAcentral lists this ribosomal RNA (1406 nucleotides) under Streptococcus sp. 2010_Ileo_MS_IXe. RNAcentral describes it as "bacterial SSU rRNA". It matches the Rfam family "Bacterial small subunit ribosomal RNA". RNAcentral also lists the same sequence under 1 other name. The record is from RNAcentral. Lineage: Bacteria; Bacillati; Bacillota; Bacilli; Lactobacillales; Streptococcaceae.
AGACGCUGAAGAGAGGAGCUUGCUCUUCUUGGAUGAGUUGCGAACGGGUGAGUAACGCGUAGGUAACCUGCCUUGUAGCGGGGGAUAACUAUUGGAAACGAUAGCUAAUACCGCAUAACAAUGGAUGACACAUGUCAUUUAUUUGAAAGGGGCAAUUGCUCCACUACAAGAUGGACCUGCGUUGUAUUAGCUAGUAGGUGAGGUAACGGCUCACCUAGGCGACGAUACAUAGCCGACCUGAGAGGGUGAUCGGCCACACUGGGACUGAGACACGGCCCAGACUCCUACGGGAGGCAGCAGUAGGGAAUCUUCGGCAAUGGGGGCAACCCUGACCGAGCAACGCCGCGUGAGUGAAGAAGGUUUUCGGAUCGUAAAGCUCUGUUGUAAGUCAAGAACGAGUGUGAGAGUGGAAAGUUCACACUGUGACGGUAGCUUACCAGAAAGGGACGGCUAACUACGUGCCAGCAGCCGCGGUAAUACGUAGGUCCCGAGCGUUGUCCGGAUUUAUUGGGCGUAAAGCGAGCGCAGGCGGUUUGAUAAGUCUGAAGUUAAAGGCUGUGGCUCAACCAUAGUUCGCUUUGGAAACUGUCAAACUUGAGUGCAGAAGGGGAGAGUGGAAUUCCAUGUGUAGCGGUGAAAUGCGUAGAUAUAUGGAGGAACACCGGUGGCGAAAGCGGCUCUCUGGUCUGUAACUGACGCUGAGGCUCGAAAGCGUGGGGAGCGAACAGGAUUAGAUACCCUGGUAGUCCACGCCGUAAACGAUGAGUGCUAGGUGUUGGAUCCUUUCCGGGAUUCAGUGCCGCAGCUAACGCAUUAAGCACUCCGCCUGGGGAGUACGACCGCAAGGUUGAAACUCAAAGGAAUUGACGGGGGCCCGCACAAGCGGUGGAGCAUGUGGUUUAAUUCGAAGCAACGCGAAGAACCUUACCAGGUCUUGACAUCCCGAUGCUAUUUCUAGAGAUAGAAAGUUACUUCGGUACAUCGGUGACAGGUGGUGCAUGGUUGUCGUCAGCUCGUGUCGUGAGAUGUUGGGUUAAGUCCCGCAACGAGCGCAACCCCUAUUGUUAGUUGCCAUCAUUCAGUUGGGCACUCUAGCGAGACUGCCGGUAAUAAACCGGAGGAAGGUGGGGAUGACGUCAAAUCAUCAUGCCCCUUAUGACCUGGGCUACACACGUGCUACAAUGGUUGGUACAACGAGUUGCGAGUCGGUGACGGCAAGCUAAUCUCUUAAAGCCAAUCUCAGUUCGGAUUGUAGGCUGCAACUCGCCUACAUGAAGUCGGAAUCGCUAGUAAUCGCGGAUCAGCACGCCGCGGUGAAUACGUUCCCGGGCCUUGUACACACCGCCCGUCACACCACGAGAGUUUGUAACACCCGAAGUCGGUGAGGUAACCUUUGGAGCCAGCCG